Molecule: ribosomal RNA, 354 nt
Filed under: uncultured bacterium
Lineage: Bacteria
Description: bacterial SSU rRNA
Rfam family: Bacterial small subunit ribosomal RNA
Source: RNAcentral
AUUGAACGCUGGCGGCAGGCCUAACACAUGCAAGUCGAGCGGUAGAGAGGUGCUUGCAUCUCUUGAGAGCGGCGGACGGGUGAGUAAUGCCUAGGAAUCUGCCUAGUGGUGGGGGAUAACGUUCGGAAACGGACGCUAAUACCGCAUACGUCCUACGGGAGAAAGCGGGGGAUCUUCGGACCUCGCGCCAUUAGAUGAGCCUAGGUCGGAUUAGCUAGUUGGUGAGGUAAAUGGCUCACCAAGGCGACGAUCCGUAACUGGUCUGAGAGGAUGAUCAGUCACACUGGAACUGAGACACGGUCCAGACUCCUACGGGAGGCAGCAGUGGGGAAUAUUGGACAAUAGGCGGAAAGA